CGCCUUGCCAGCCCGCUCAGAACUUAAGGAAUUGACGGGGCCGCACAAGCGGAGGAACAUGUGGUUAAUUCGAUGAUACGCGAGGAACCUUACCUGGGCUAAAACGCAUUCGGAAUCAGGCCGAAGGCUGCGCCAGCGAUGGCCGCUUGCGAGGUGCUGCAUGGUUGUCGUCAGCUCGUGCCGUGAGGUGUCGGGUUAAGUCCCAUAACGAGCGCAACCCCUACUGCUAGUUGCCAGCGGGUCAUGCCGGGGACUCUAGCGGAACUGCCAGCGUAAGCUGCGAGGAAGGUGGGGAUGACGUCAAAUCAGCACGGCCCUUACGUCCAGGGCUACACACGUGCUACAAUGGUCGGUACAAAGGGUUGCCAAGCCGCGAGGUGGAGCUAAUCCCAUAAAACCGAUCGUAGUCCGGAUCGCAGUCUGCAACUCGACUGCGUGAAGUCGGAAUCGCUAGUAAUCGUGAAUCAGAAUGUCACGGUGAAUACGUUCCCGGGCCUU
RNAcentral lists this ribosomal RNA (498 nucleotides) under uncultured Sphingobacteriales bacterium. Its description in RNAcentral is "bacterial SSU rRNA". It matches the Rfam family "Bacterial small subunit ribosomal RNA", at positions 904 to 1382 of the family's 1533-position model. The record is from RNAcentral. Lineage: Bacteria; Pseudomonadati; Bacteroidota; Sphingobacteriia; Sphingobacteriales.